GAGUUUGAUCAUGGCUCAGAACGUACGCUGGCGGCACGCCUAACACAUGCAAGUCGAACGCAGUAGCAAUACUGAGUGGCAAACGGGUGAGUAUAAUGUGGGAAUCUGCCUUUUGGUUUGGAAUAACACGGGGAAACUUGUGCUAAUACCGAAUAAGCCUUUACGGGGAAAGUUUUAACGCCGAAAGAUGAGCCUGCACUUGAUUAGCUAGUUGGUAAGGUAAAAGCUUACCAAGGCAACGAUCAAUAGCUGUUCUUAGAGGAAGACCAGCCACAUUGGGACUGAGACACGGCCCAGACUCCUACGGGAGGCAGCAGUGGGGAAUCUUGCACAAUGGGGGAAACCCUGAUGCAGCGAUGCCGCGUGAGUGAAGAAGGCCCUUGGGUUGUAAAACUCUUUCGUCGGGGAAGAAAAUGACUGUACCCGAAUAAGAAGGUCCGGCUAACUUCGUGCCAGCAGCCGCGGUAAUACGAAGGGACCUAGCGUAGUUCGGAAUUACUGGGCUUAAAGAGCUCGUAGGUGGUUAAAAAAGUUGAUGGUGAAAUCCCAAGGCUCAACCUUGGAACUGCCAUCAAAACUUUUUAGCUAGAGUGUGAUAGAGGUAAGUGGAAUUUCUAGUGUAGAGGUGAAAUUCGUAGAUAUUAGAAAGAACACCAAAUGCGAAGGCAACUUACUGGGUCACUACUGACACUGAGGAGCGAAAGCAUGGGUAGCGAAGAGGAUUAGAUACCCUCGUAGUCCAUGCCGUAAACGAUGUGUGCUAGACGUUGGAAAUAUAUUUUUCAGUGUCGCAGCGAAAGCAUUAAGCACACCGGCCUGGGGCAGUACGACCGCAAGGUUAAAACUCAAUGAAUUGACGGGGACCCGCACAAGCAGUGGAGCAUGUGGUUUAAUUCGAAGAUACGCGCAGAACCCUUACCACACUUGACAUGUUCGUCGCGAANUAAGAGAUUAGUUUUUUUCAGUUCGGCUGGACGAA
Molecule: ribosomal RNA, 979 nt
Filed under: uncultured bacterium
Lineage: Bacteria
Description: bacterial SSU rRNA
Rfam family: Bacterial small subunit ribosomal RNA
Source: RNAcentral